Molecule: ribosomal RNA, 440 nt
Filed under: uncultured bacterium
Lineage: Bacteria
Description: partial 16S ribosomal RNA
Rfam family: Bacterial small subunit ribosomal RNA
Source: RNAcentral
CCUACGGGAGGCUGCAGUGGGGAAUAUUGCACAAUGGGGGAAACCCUGAUGCAGCGACGCCGCGUGAGUGAAGAAGUAUCUCGGUACGUAAAGCUCUAUCAGCAGGGAAGAAAAUGACGGUACCUGACUAUGAAGCCCCGGCUAACUACGUGCCAGCAGCCGCGGUAAUACGUAGGGGGCAAGCGUUAUCCGGAUUUACUGGGUGUAAAGGGAGCGUAGACGGCGCUGCAAGUCCGGAGUGAAAGCCCAUGGCUUAACCAUGGUACUGCUCUGGAAACUGUAGGGCUUGAGUGCGGGAGGGGCAGGCGGAAUUCCGAGUGUAGCGGUGAAAGGCGUAGAUAUUAGGAGGAACACCGGCGGCGAAGGCGGCCUGCUGGACCGUAACUGACGUUGAGGCUCGAAAGCGUGGGGAGCAAACAGGAUUAGAUACCCUUGUAGUC